This 698-nucleotide long non-coding RNA is filed under the name Pan troglodytes (chimpanzee). RNAcentral describes it as "lincRNA". Lineage: Eukaryota; Metazoa; Chordata; Mammalia; Primates; Hominidae. The record is from RNAcentral.
AGACCCUCCAGGGGUAGGGUCCAGGAUUGAAGAGGGAAGCCCUGCUCCACACGUGUUCAUCAGGAAGGACCCACAGACUGCUGCUCCUGGAGGCCUCUCAGGGUUUAUGGAUGUGUGUUUGUUCCAUAAACCCUCAGAGGGUCACCUGGAGACCUGCUAAAAUGCAGGUUCUUGGGCCACAUCCUAGACCUUCUGACCGACCCAGGGAGUGGGGCCCAGGAAGCUGCAUUUGACAGAUAUCCCCGUGUGAUCAUCAUGCACACAGGAGUGACAGAACCAGUGUUCUCCCCGGGCAGAAGGGAAGCUCGUGUGCAGGACACCUCACACCUCCUUUCCUAUUCCCCUGCCAGGCUCUCCCUGCUGACAUUGUUUCGCGGGAGAGCUGUGAAUACUGAAGAUUAGGUUGCUUCUCACCCCAAGCUCCAGAAGUCCAGGCUGAGCCAAACCAAGCUUCAAGUUGUGCCUGGACUUGGAGAACCAGGAAGUGAGGGGACUGACUACUUGAAGAUCACAUGGAGGAGGAGUCUGAUCCAGGCCCAGUCUUGCUCUGUUGCCCAGGCUGGAGUACAGUGGCAUGAUCUCAGCUCACUGCAACCUCUGCCCCCCAGGUUCAAGCAAUUCUCAUGCAUCAGCCUCCCAAGAAGCUGGGACUGACUACAGGCAAGCACCACCACACCCAGCUAAUUUUUGUGUCUAAC